Molecule: long non-coding RNA, 4702 nt
Organism: Leopardus geoffroyi (Geoffroy's cat)
Lineage: Eukaryota; Metazoa; Chordata; Mammalia; Carnivora; Felidae
Exons: 2
Source: RefSeq, a predicted model, not a curated record
AACCCCAAAAACCAAAAACCAAAACCAAAACAAAAAACAAACAAACAAAACAGACACUGAGAUUUGUGAUAAGGACAUCUGAGCCAAUGCACAAAAAACAUAGUCAACUGCCAAGAUUGUCCCAAAACCUCUGUGACUGCAGAAAUGGCCAACUCUUCUUUAUUAAAAUCAGAGUUCCUUUUUUGCUUGAAGGUAAUGUUAAGUGCAAAGGAAGUAUAUUCUAAAGGAGCUGCAGGAUUUUCCAACAUGUACCUCGGUGAAUACAAAUGGAACUGGGCAUUAUGGUGCUGGGUCAAGGUGGCUAAUGGGAGAGUUUAUUGAUAAGGGUCACUUUUCUCACAAUAUAGGAUCUAACACCCUGGAAAGACCAUCUUACAAUGUCAAUAUGUUGCCAGGCUGAUUCUUGGAAGCAACAAUGGAUACUAAUGCAUCCCUGUCCACUGGUGUUCUGUCCCAGUUCACCAUUGGUAUACAUCUUAACAGUUGUCCUGUGUAUUUGUUUGCUAGGGCUGCUAUAACAACAAAGUAAAUAGGAAUUCCAGAAUCACUGUGGAAGAUGGCUGAGAUAGAAAUGGUCAUGCUAGAGUAGAUAUCCUACUUAAGGUCAGAAGACCCAAAAUGAUUACAUUUUCCAGGAGAUACUCUGUUUUCACAAAAUGAGAAGGAGAACAUUGGAGACAGAAGCACCAGAUUCACUGAGAAGCACAGUGAGGAUUUUAUAGUUCAAGACUCAGAGUAAAAGGUGAUGUUAUAGAUGUGACUCACUAAUUGCAAUGGGAAUAACCAGAUUCCCCAAAAGAGGCCAGGUUAUGGUACUUAACCAUGAGAAGCUCGGUGAGUGCAAACAUCAGAAUAGGUGGUAAGGUCAGAGUAGCCAUAAAGGGAGCCUAACCUACAGUGAGAUGGCUUGUAUAACACGGUGUUCCUAAGGCCAAUAUAGGUGAUUAAUCUCAGGAAGAUUGCUUAAUGUGUACAAUUAAGAUAAAGCCAAAGAUUCUAACAGCACUCUAGUUUCUGGAUCCUAGACCGUUCUCAUAUCUGGAACUCAUUGAUCUAAGGAGGGCUGCGUUCCCAUGAAUUAAGAUCCUGUAACAUGGAGUGUGUAUCUGGAAAUAAGCCCCCUAGGUCUUCCCCAAAGGGACCUAAGGGCCAUUCACACACCAUGGGAUGGGAAUAUAUAGACAUGUUGAGGACUUCUGAACAAAAGUACUAUGUUGAAGUUGAUUAUCAGGAAUAAGAAACAUCAUCAUGACAUCCUUGUUAGAGUGGAUGGUAUAGAGCCUAGAUCAUUAGCAGAGCCCUGACCCAGGUCCAGGCCACACUUGCUUUGUCCACUGGGCCCAAUGUCUUUCCUUGGUUGGCAGAACGACUAUAGUGGUCAUUAUCCCCUGGUAUAGGAGUUACUGGUGGGAAAGGCCAGGUAAAAGUCUCCAAAACUGGCCCCCACACACAAUGGCUAAGAUACUGAACUUUUAAAGUUGUUCCUUGGGAAGAGUGGCUGAUACUAAUUCUACUUCUAAGGAUACGAAGAAUGCAUGAGUGGUGGUCGCCAUCAUAUAUGUAUUUGAUCUACUUGCCUGGCCCCUUUAGAAACCAGCUGGAUCCUAUAGAUGGUGAUGGACUUCCAAAAUUCCCCUGGUUGGUAUAAGUCUGGAGAAACCAGGCAUAAGCUUCCAGGAGUCUCUUCCCACAGCGUCACUUGGAACAUACUAAAUUCCCCAAGUAAAGAUGUGACAACAUGUGUGGAGUGUUACCGGUCAGGGAAGCCCACCUCAGCCUUGGAGUCCAGGGUUUUUAAUGAGAAUCAGUCGUGUGGGCAUAUGGCCCCUGCAUGAUUUACCUCAGCUACUGGAACCCCAGACCACCAUAAAUCACAUUGUUAGGACUAAGCCUCUAGACAACUGGCACAGCUUGGCUCCAGGCCAAAGAAAUGCAAAACCACUCUUAUGAAAUGGAACAUUUCAUGAGCUCAGGUCCAGGAGCCAGUCGUAAAAAUAGGUCUUUCUGGGGAACGUGCCUUCCCCACACAAGCAUCCUCAGCUUAAGAAGGGCAAAAUGAGCAGUGGCUUUUGAAACUCAGAGAUGAAGAUUUGUGAAGCCUUUCAGGUUAGGUCAUUUGGACUAGCAGAGGUGCUAGCCAAGAGUCAGAGAAAUGCAAGAUGGACAGUAAAGGGUGGGAGCAUAGCGAUCUGAUGUGACUUAAGUCCAGCUGCCUUGGCAGGGAUUACACUGCAUUCCACUCACCUUCCUCUCCCCAAUUUUCCCAGGAAGAGAAACCUGCUGGAGACUCCAAAGAGGUGUCCCCAAACUCUUGAAAGCACUUGACUCAAGCAAUGCAAAGGGUGGCAUCUGGGGACCUGGCCGUGCUGCCCAGAUUCCCUUCAGGACAAAGGUGCUUAUCACCAGCCACCAUGACUUCUCGCUGCUGAUGCUACGGAAGACACAAAAGAGAAAGUGUGUUCAUGUCUCCAAACAGUUUCCUAUGGCUGCAAGUACUCGUUACAUUGGUCAUUACGGACAGAAAGUACCUAACUCAGCAGGCAUAGGAGUCACAAGCCAGAAACACUGACUUAGAUAAUUAUGAAUAUUUGUCUCUGCCUCAAAGCAUAAAACCAAGAGAAAAUGGAAGGCAAGUCCUUUAGGCGCUAGCAUAUUUAUUACUUUCAGUGUAUUUGCUUACCUACAUCUCAACAUUUAGGAAGAAGAAAGCAUUUGAUGAAGCAACUGUUGAGAGUCUCCUCCCAAGCUCCCCAGACUCCAUCCUGCCAGUCCUGGAGAAUGCAGGGUGCUGAGCCUUGGGGAGUUCUGCCAGUUAUUUUGCUUAUUUAGAUGCCUUACUAUCAGAAGACGACACUGACAGCGACUUUUGAAAACUGGCGACUAAGAGAAUCCUAAAGAUAGAGCCUACUGAGAAAUGGUCUUUGCACCAAGAAUGCAAGCCAUCUUCUCCUGUCUGUGAGAUAGUGCUCAGAAAGGAUCUACUUACUGCUCUCACGGAUUUGGCGACCACAGAUAGAGAAUACUCACCUGCCCAGUGGCUUUGCGGACGGUGGGGGGAACCUCAAGAAUCAAGACCAGGGCUUAUUAAGAAGUGAUCAAUCCACGUUUUCACAUUGUGACUAAUGUUUGGAGACUGAUCAGGGAGAAUGUGGACCAAAGCAAAGAAGUAUCAAGACCUGGAUUGAUACACACACACACACACACACACACACACACACACACACACACACAUAUAGAUGUUUGACUAUUUGCGUAACUGGCAAGUGACUCAUUAGCCCACCCAGUAGUAACAAGACACGAGGAAGUCAUUGAAAUUAAUUCUCCUUUGCUUCAAGGGGUCAGGGAAGAGAGCAGAAAAGGAAGACUUGUAAGUCAGGUACACAGUAUAAAUAAGAGCCCGUGGUGGGUGAGAUGAAAACUGCUCCAUAAAGCAAGGUGCAUGUUAGGAAUAGGGACAGUGGAGCGUGCUGGUAAGCUCAGUCUUUGCUCCUGGCAUUGUGGCAUCUGGGGACCCCUCCUGUGUGGGGGAUCCAGCACUCUGUACUACUCACUACAGAAGUCAGAGGGAUUUGAAGGGUCAGUGUGCAGUGUAAAUUGAAUGCCAGUAACAAGAUGCACCGUGUAAGAAUUUCAUUUCAUUCUGAUGUAAGAACAGUUGUGCCACCCCGUGAGUUGUGACCUCUUACCUCUGGGCUAGAAGUCCAGGGCAAGUGGAUUGGUCUUUAAGGAGGUGACCUUGAGGACGGACCACUCCCUUUUCACAUUUCACUGGCCCACACUAAUUCCUAGCUGCAAGGGAGGCUGAGAAAUGUAGUCUUCAGUUAGGUGGACCAUGCCCAAUAAAUACUAAAAAGAAAGGAGAGAAUAGUUCCUAAACUGCAGUUAGCAGUUUUUGCGGCAAGGAUAUGUUGUGUCUCUAUGUAGCUGGAUGUCAGUACAUGACCUAGACUUAGACAAGAUCAGUUCUACUGGGCGCUUUGGGUUGGAGACUUGGUCGUAGCUAAGGGAAGAGUAUUUAGUUCCUGCCACCUUCUAAGCCCGAUUCCUUCUGGGCCGCUUUCUGGUAGUAAAUACUUCUCAGGACAGUGUGUGCAAACGUUUCAUGGUAUGUGUUGAGAAAUAGGAUUUGUUGGGAAAGUUUAUGAGCAAAGGGCCAGUGAGAAAAGGCACCCCUAGCCCCGGACCCUCAUUAUCCCCCUAAGGGGCACAUGGGGGUAGGAUUCUCUGGUGAACCUGCCACAGUACUUUGUUCUUACGGUUCCCCUUCUUAGGCAGUAGUCACCAACACUCUCCGUGCAGAGCUAAACACACCGCUUGUUAGAAGGCACACUGCAUUUGGGGUGCCUGUUGUUUGGAGGGAUUGUCGGGGAAGGCCAGCUGCUGUUGGGAUGUAUGGCUGUGGCAAUUCUCGGUCCUCGCACCAUGGAAACUCAGUUUGAGGACACCUCCUGAUGUAUCCCCACUCAGGUCCUUCACUGCCCAGCUUCCAGGAUUGCACUGGAUGACCUGGCUUUUCCGACCACACCUCUCCACGUCUCCUACUGAUUUUAGGAACUGACGACUCUUCUCCUAAUAACUCAUUUCUCUGCUUGUACGUGGAAUUGGUUUCUAUUUUGUACAACCAUGAUAAUUGCCUCGUAGACUGUAUGUGAUCCAGGCAGACAUGAAAUUUAAGCAAACAAUUGAAUUAUAUAGUUCGGAA